GAUGAACGCUAGCGGCAGGCCUAACACAUGCAAGUCGAGGGAGAAGCCUUUCGGGGCAGAAACCGGCGCACGGGUGCGUAACGCGUAUGCAACCUACCUUUCACAGGGGGAUAGCCCGAAGAAAUUUGGAUUAAUACCCCAUAAUAUUGUUGGAUGGCAUCAUUUGACAAUUAAAACUGAGGUGGUGGAAGAUGGGCAUGCGUCCUAUUAGCUAGUUGGAGUGGUAACGGCACCCCAAGGCUACGAUAGGUAGGGGUCCUGAGAGGGAGAUCCCCCACACUGGUACUGAGACAGGGACCAGACUCCUACGGGAGGCAGCAGUGAGGAAUAUUGGUCAAUGGUCGGAAGACUGAACCAGCCAUGCCGCGUGCAGGAAGAAUGCCUUAUGGGUUGUAAACUGCUUUUAUAUGGGAAGAAUAAAGGUGUACGUGUACAUUGAUGACGGUACCAUAUGAAU
RNAcentral lists this ribosomal RNA (457 nucleotides) under Capnocytophaga gingivalis. RNAcentral's name for it is "bacterial SSU rRNA". It matches the Rfam family "Bacterial small subunit ribosomal RNA", at positions 28 to 487 of the family's 1533-position model. Lineage: Bacteria; Pseudomonadati; Bacteroidota; Flavobacteriia; Flavobacteriales; Flavobacteriaceae. The record is from RNAcentral.